Molecule: ribosomal RNA, 1972 nt
Filed under: Staphylococcus aureus DAR3236
Lineage: Bacteria; Bacillati; Bacillota; Bacilli; Caryophanales; Staphylococcaceae
Description: bacterial LSU rRNA
Rfam family: Bacterial large subunit ribosomal RNA
Source: RNAcentral
ACAAACUCCGAAUGCCAAUUAAUUUAACUUGGGAGUCAGAACAUGGGUGAUAAGGUCCGUGUUCGAAAGGGAAACAGCCCAGACCACCAGCUAAGGUCCCAAAAUAUAUGUUAAGUGGAAAAGGAUGUGGCGUUGCCCAGACAACUAGGAUGUUGGCUUAGAAGCAGCCAUCAUUUAAAGAGUGCGUAAUAGCUCACUAGUCGAGUGACACUGCGCCGAAAAUGUACCGGGGCUAAACAUAUUACCGAAGCUGUGGAUUGUCCUUUGGACAAUGGUAGGAGAGCGUUCUAAGGGCGUUGAAGCAUGAUCGUAAGGACAUGUGGAGCGCUUAGAAGUGAGAAUGCCGGUGUGAGUAGCGAAAGACGGGUGAGAAUCCCGUCCACCGAUUGACUAAGGUUUCCAGAGGAAGGCUCGUCCGCUCUGGGUUAGUCGGGUCCUAAGCUGAGGCCGACAGGCGUAGGCGAUGGAUAACAGGUUGAUAUUCCUGUACCACCUAUAAUCGUUUUAAUCGAUGGGGGGACGCAGUAGGAUAGGCGAAGCGUGCGAUUGGAUUGCACGUCUAAGCAGUAAGGCUGAGUAUUAGGCAAAUCCGGUACUCGUUAAGGCUGAGCUGUGAUGGGGAGAAGACAUUGUGUCUUCGAGUCGUUGAUUUCACACUGCCGAGAAAAGCCUCUAGAUAGAAAAUAGGUGCCCGUACCGCAAACCGACACAGGUAGUCAAGAUGAGAAUUCUAAGGUGAGCGAGCGAACUCUCGUUAAGGAACUCGGCAAAAUGACCCCGUAACUUCGGGAGAAGGGGUGCUCUUUAGGGUUAACGCCCAGAAGAGCCGCAGUGAAUAGGCCCAAGCGACUGUUUAUCAAAAACACAGGUCUCUGCUAAACCGUAAGGUGAUGUAUAGGGGCUGACGCCUGCCCGGUGCUGGAAGGUUAAGAGGAGUGGUUAGCUUCUGCGAAGCUACGAAUCGAAGCCCCAGUAAACGGCGGCCGUAACUAUAACGGUCCUAAGGUAGCGAAAUUCCUUGUCGGGUAAGUUCCGACCCGCACGAAAGGCGUAACGAUUUGGGCACUGUCUCAACGAGAGACUCGGUGAAAUCAUAGUACCUGUGAAGAUGCAGGUUACCCGCGACAGGACGGAAAGACCCCGUGGAGCUUUACUGUAGCCUGAUAUUGAAAUUCGGCACAGCUUGUACAGGAUAGGUAGGAGCCUUUGAAACGUGAGCGCUAGCUUACGUGGAGGCGCUGGUGGGAUACUACCCUAGCUGUGUUGGCUUUCUAACCCGCACCACUUAUCGUGGUGGGAGACAGUGUCAGGCGGGCAGUUUGACUGGGGCGGUCGCCUCCUAAAAGGUAACGGAGGCGCUCAAAGGUUCCCUCAGAAUGGUUGGAAAUCAUUCAUAGAGUGUAAAGGCAUAAGGGAGCUUGACUGCGAGACCUACAAGUCGAGCAGGGUCGAAAGACGGACUUAGUGAUCCGGUGGUUCCGCAUGGAAGGGCCAUCGCUCAACGGAUAAAAGCUACCCCGGGGAUAACAGGCUUAUCUCCCCCAAGAGUUCACAUCGACGGGGAGGUUUGGCACCUCGAUGUCGGCUCAUCGCAUCCUGGGGCUGUAGUCGGUCCCAAGGGUUGGGCUGUUCGCCCAUUAAAGCGGUACGCGAGCUGGGUUCAGAACGUCGUGAGACAGUUCGGUCCCUAUCCGUCGUGGGCGUAGGAAAUUUGAGAGGAGCUGUCCUUAGUACGAGAGGACCGGGAUGGAUAUACCUCUGGUGUACCAGUUGUCGUGCCAACGGCAUAGCUGGGUAGCUAUGUGUGGACGGGAUAAGUGCUGAAAGCAUCUAAGCAUGAAGCCCCCCUCAAGAUGAGAUUUCCCAACUUCGGUUAUAAGAUCCCUCAAAGAUGAUGAGGUUAAUAGGUUCGAGGUGGAAGCAUGGUGACAUGUGGAGCUGACGAAUACUAAUCGAUCGAAGACUUAAUCAA